This 497-nucleotide ribosomal RNA is filed under the name uncultured bacterium. RNAcentral's name for it is "partial 16S ribosomal RNA". It matches the Rfam family "Bacterial small subunit ribosomal RNA", at positions 29 to 507 of the family's 1533-position model. The record is from RNAcentral.
UAUUAACUCUGGCGGCGUGCCUAAUACAUGCAAGUCGAGCGAACAGACGAGGAGCUUGCUCCUCUGACGUUAGCGGCGGACGGGUGAGUAACACGUGGAUAACCUACCUAUAAGACUGGGAUAACUUCGGGAAACCGGAGCUAAUACCGGAUAAUAUAUUGAACCGCAUGGUUCAAUAGUGAAAGACGGUUUUGCUGUCACUUAUAGAUGGAUCCGCGCCGCAUUAGCUAGUUGGUAAGGUAACGGCUUACCAAGGCGACGAUGCGUAGCCGACCUGAGAGGGUGAUCGGCCACACUGGAACUGAGACACGGUCCAGACUCCUACGGGAGGCAGCAGUAGGGAAUCUUCCGCAAUGGGCGAAAGCCUGACGGAGCAACGCCGCGUGAGUGAUGAAGGUCUUCGGAUCGUAAAACUCUGUUAUUAGGGAAGAACAAAUGUGUAAGUAACUAUGCACGUCUUGACGGUACCUAAUCAGAAAGCCACGGCUAACUACGUG